RNAcentral lists this long non-coding RNA (854 nucleotides) under Dunaliella salina. Its description in RNAcentral is "long non-coding RNA (DSAL_LNC000319)". Lineage: Eukaryota; Viridiplantae; Chlorophyta; Chlorophyceae; Chlamydomonadales; Dunaliellaceae. The record is from RNAcentral.
GUGCAGCUUUUUCAAUUGAAAUUCUCGCGUCUGCUCUGUUCUGCUCUGCUGCAUUUGUUGGGAACAUGGACAGGAUACUCUCCCCUUGUGUUGGCCCUGCUGAAAAUGGUCUUCCUAUUCCACACAGGUGAUGGGAGGAAGAAGACUGGGAACAUAUUCCAAAGAGGCCACCUGCGCCAAAAGCGGGCAACCACGCCUGGCUGGCAAAGCCCUGAGGCAAGUAUUCCUCUACCACUUACAACUAAUUAGAAGUUGUGAUGUGCAUGUGAAAAGCUUCUGCCAUAAGAAAAUAAGAGAGAUUGCAUGCUUGCCAGUUGGCUGUGUCAUGUUAACCCUAAAUAACAGUCUACGUUCCCCAUUUCUUGACCUUCAUAGGAAUGGGAGAGAGGCAGGCGCUCGAGCAGCAGCUGGAGCACAAGCACAAGGAUGUGAGGUCUGCGAUUUUGUGGCAAUUGAUGAUGGGCUGUAUGACAUUGGAAUGAAUCAAAGCGGCAAGUUGGUUUCUCAUAGACUUCUUUCCUCAGGAGUUUUCAACUGGCUCCAAUUUUAGAUGCCAAAUUGCUCGCGCCGCAUCUGUGAGGAACAAUGAUGUUGAAUAUGUGCAUCAACAGCAGUGGCAGAGGAGCUCCAUGCAUUGACUUUCUUUUCAUGUUUGGGCAUCCCAUUUUUUGUGCAACUUGUUUUUUUGGCAUCAUUAGUACAGGAGCAGCUGCGCAUGCAUCAUGCAUGCAUUAGAACAGCGGUACUUUCAGGAAUGUUUUUGUGAUCGCAUGUGCUACAGUUGAACAUGCAGGAUAUGUUGCGCAACUUGCAUGCUGUUCGGCUUAUAGAAUGGCAACAGUGUGAUCGCAUGU